This 253-nucleotide ribosomal RNA is filed under the name uncultured bacterium. Its description in RNAcentral is "partial 16S ribosomal RNA". It matches the Rfam family "Bacterial small subunit ribosomal RNA", at positions 524 to 776 of the family's 1533-position model. The record is from RNAcentral.
UACGGGGGGAGCAAGCGUUGUUCGGAAUUACUGGGCGUAAAGGGCGCGUAGGCGGCCUUCUAAGUCGAACGUGAAAUCCCUGGGCUCAACCCAGGAACUGCGUCCGAUACUGGAAGGCUUGAAUCCGGGAGAGGGAUGCGGAAUUCCAGGUGUAGCGGUGAAAUGCGUAGAUAUCUGGAGGAACACCGGUGGCGAAGGCGGCAUCCUGGACCGGUAUUGACGCUGAUGAGCGAAAGCUAGGGGAGCAAACGGG